GACGGGUGAGUAACGCGUGAGAAUCUGCCUUGGGGUCGGGGACAACCACUGGAAACGGUGGCUAAUACCGGAUACGCCUUCGGGUAAAAGAUUUAUUGCCCUAAGAGGAGCUCGCGUCUGAUUAGCUAGUUGGUGAGGUAAGAGCUCACCAAGGCAGCGAUCAGUAGCUGGUCUGAGAGGACGAUCAGCCACACUGGGACUGAGACACGGCCCAGACUCCUACGGGAGGCAGCAGUGGGGAAUUUUCCGCAAUGGGCGAAAGCCUGACGGAGCAAGACCGCGUGAGGGAGGAAGGCUCUUGGGUUGUAAACCUCUUUUCUCAGGGAAGAAAUCUGACGGUACCUGAGGAAUAAGCCUCGGCUAACUCCGUGCCAGCAGCCGCGGUAAUACGGAGGAGGCAAGCGUUAUCCGGAAUUAUUGGGCGUAAAGCGUCCGCAGGUGGCUUUUCAAGUCUGCUGUCAAAGACCGGGGCUCAACCCCGGAAAGGCAGUGGAAACUGUGAGGCUAGAGUGCGGUAGGGGUAGAGGGAAUUCCCGGUGUAGCGGUG
This 547-nucleotide ribosomal RNA is filed under the name uncultured bacterium. RNAcentral describes it as "bacterial SSU rRNA". It matches the Rfam family "Bacterial small subunit ribosomal RNA", at positions 100 to 683 of the family's 1533-position model. The record is from RNAcentral.